UCACAUCCGAGGCCUUGUAAUUGGAAUGAGUACACUUUAAAUCCUUUAACAAGGAUCAAUUGGAGGGCAAGUCUGGUGCCAGCAGCCGCGGUAAUUCCAGCUCCAAUAGCGUAUAUUAAAGUUGUUGCGGUUAAAACGUUCGUAGUUGAACUUGUGUUUCGCACGGGCAGUACCUAGGACUAGGUAACUAGGACGGUACCUUGUCUUACUUUCCUUAUCUGUGGUUUGGAAAAAGUGCGUGAACGUAUUAUCGGCGUGUUCGUUCUUGAACGUUCACAUAAGCCCAUCUCAGUGCUCUUAAUCGAGUGUUGUUGUGGGCCGAUACAAAUUACUUUGAACAAAUUAGAGUGCUUAAAGCAGGCUUGUAAUGCCUGAAUAUUUUGUGCAUGGAAUAAUGAAAUAGGACAUCUGUUCUACUUUCAUUGGUUUUUUAGACCAAGAUGUAAUGAUUAAUGGAAGCAGUUGGGGGCAUUAGUAUUACAACGCGAGAGGUGAAAUUCUUAGACCGUUGUAAGACUGACUAAAGCGAAAGCAUUUGCCAAAGAUGUUUUCAUUUAAUCAAGAACGAAAGUUAGAGGUUCGAAGGCGAUCAGAUACCGCCCUAGUUCUAACCAUAAACGAUGCCAGCUAGCAAUUGAGUGUAGCUACUACUAUGGCUCUUUCAGUCGCUUCUCGGGAAACCAAAGCUUUUGGGCUCCGGGGGAAGUAUGGUUGCAAAGCUGAAACUUAAAGGAAUUGACGGAAGGGCACCACCAGGAGUGGAGCCUGCGGCUUAAUUUGACUCAACACGGGAAAACUUACCAGGUCCGAACAUAAAUGAGUAAGACAGAUUG
RNAcentral lists this ribosomal RNA (833 nucleotides) under Docosia gilvipes. RNAcentral describes it as "SSU rRNA". It matches the Rfam family "Eukaryotic small subunit ribosomal RNA", at positions 490 to 1250 of the family's 1831-position model. Lineage: Eukaryota; Metazoa; Arthropoda; Insecta; Diptera; Mycetophilidae. The record is from RNAcentral.